Molecule: long non-coding RNA, 663 nt
Organism: Gasterosteus aculeatus aculeatus (three-spined stickleback)
Lineage: Eukaryota; Metazoa; Chordata; Actinopteri; Perciformes; Gasterosteidae
Source: Ensembl
GUGUUCAUCCUUACGCUGUAUUAUCAUGUGCUGGACCAUUUUUUUCUUCUCUUUGUAUCUACUUUUUUUGAGGAUUCUUUGUAAAUCAUGAGCGACUCUGUGGCGCAAUGUACAGCGCGUUGGACUUCUAGUUGAUCAUCAUGAAAGUAAUUCAAAGGUUGUGGGUUCGAGUCCCACCAGAGUUGAGCUUUAGAUUCAGUGACAAAAGCCAGAAAUAUCUCUGGGCAAUUACUGCUUAAAAAGAAAGCAUUUCUUUCCAUCCCAUUAUAAUGCAUUUACCGUCCGUUACAUUUUGAGUUUUAAAGUUUUACUCCUGUCGUAGUCAAGUUUUAAAUCUAGCAUGGUGUUCACCCUUACGCUGUAUUAUUAUGUGCUGGACCAUUUUUUUCUUCUCUUUAUAUCUUCUUUUUUUGAAGGAUUCUUUGCAAAUCAUAAGCGACUCUGUGGCACAAUGGACAGCGCGUUGGACUUCUAGUUGAUCAUCAUGAAAGUAAUUCAAAGGUUGUGGGUUCGAGUCCCACCAGAGUUGAACUUUAGAUUCAGUGACAAAAGCCAGAAAUCUCUCUGGGGAAUUACUGCUUAAAUAAAAGCAUUUUAUCCCAUCCCAUAAUAAUGCAUUUACCGUCCGUUACAUUUUGAGUUUUAAAGUAUUACUUCUGUCGU